UUCAGUUCACUAAGAACUCUUCAAGGCCAGCAGCCUUGGGACUCUUCUAGUUCCCUAGGAACUCUUCAAGCCCAGCAGGCUUGGAACUUCGUUUAGUCCCUCUGGACAAGGACCCUUUGGCCCUGCUUUGUUUAGUCCCUCCGGACAAGGACCCUUUGGCCCUGCUUCAUUUAGUCCUUCUGGACAAGGACCCCUCAGGCCCUGGCUUCGUUG
This 213-nucleotide long non-coding RNA is filed under the name Panax ginseng (ginseng). RNAcentral's name for it is "long non-coding RNA (PGIN_LNC008330)". Lineage: Eukaryota; Viridiplantae; Streptophyta; Magnoliopsida; Apiales; Araliaceae. The record is from RNAcentral.